RNAcentral lists this ribosomal RNA (274 nucleotides) under uncultured bacterium. RNAcentral's name for it is "partial 16S ribosomal RNA". It matches the Rfam family "Bacterial small subunit ribosomal RNA", at positions 523 to 796 of the family's 1533-position model. The record is from RNAcentral.
AUACGGAGGGUGCAAGCGUUGUUCGGAAUCACUGGGCGUAAAGGGCGCGCAGGCGGUUUGGUAAGUCAGAUGUGAAAGCCCACGGAUCAACCGUGGAAGUGCAUUUGAAACUGCCAGACUUGAGUACCAGAGGGGAAAGUGGAAUUCCCGGUGUAGAGGUGAAAUUCGUAGAUAUCGGGAGGAAUACCGGUGGCGAAGGCGACUUUCUGGCUGGAUACUGACGCUGAGGCGCGAAAGCGUGGGGAGCAAACAGGAUUAGAAACCCUUGUAGUCC